RNAcentral lists this ribosomal RNA (468 nucleotides) under uncultured bacterium. RNAcentral describes it as "partial 16S ribosomal RNA". It matches the Rfam family "Bacterial small subunit ribosomal RNA", at positions 28 to 507 of the family's 1533-position model. The record is from RNAcentral.
GACGAACGCUGGCGGCGUGCUUAACACAUGCAAGUCGAACGGAAAGGCCCUGCUUUUGUGGGGUGCUCGAGUGGCGAACGGGUGAGUAACAAGUGAGUAACCUGCCCUUGACUUUGGGAUAACUUCAGGAAACUGGGGCUAAUACCGGAUAGGAGCUCCUGCUGCAUGGUGGGGGUUGGAAAGUUUCGGCGGUUGGGGAUGGACUCGCGGCUUAUCAGCUUGUUGGUGGGGUAGUGGCUUACCAAGGCUUUGACGGGUAGCCGGCCUGAGAGGGUGACCGGCCACAUUGGGACUGAGAUACGGCCCAGACUCCUACGGGAGGCAGCAGUGGGGAAUAUUGCACAAUGGGCGGAAGCCUGAUGCAGCAACGCCGCGUGCGGGAUGACGGCCUUCGGGUUGUAAACCGCUUUCGCCUGUGACGAAGCGUGAGUGACGGUAAUGGGUAAAGAAGCACCGGCUAACCACGUG